RNA transcript from Pteropus alecto (black flying fox), 515 nucleotides. It is a transcript of the gene named apolipoprotein A2, with no coding region annotated. The record is from RefSeq and is a predicted model, not a curated record. NCBI's taxonomy places the organism in Eukaryota, Metazoa, Chordata, Mammalia, Chiroptera, Pteropodidae. The transcript has 4 exons.
AAGCAGAGGAGCGGCAGGCCCAGCGUCCAGAGAGCUCCGGCCCCGGCCGCAGCUGCAGAGGUGGACGGGGCUCGGUGACAGCCCCGAGAUUUAACUCACGACCUUCCCCGGCAUCGGCAUCAUGAAGCUGCUUGCGGUGACUGUGCUGCUCCUCACCAUCUGCAGCCUCGAAGUGUGCAGGGGCUUUGGUUCGAAGGCAGGCGGAGGAGUCGAAUGUGCAGGGGCUGCUCUCUCAGUACUUCCAGACUGUGGCUGACUAUGGCAAGGACCUGGUGGACAAGGCCAAGGGCUCAGAGCUCCAGGCCCAGGCUUACUUGGAGAAGACACAGGAGCAGCUGACACCCCUGGUCAAGAAGGCUGGAAAUGAUCUGAUUCACUUCUUCAGUUACUUCACGGACCUCAAAACACCAGCCCCAGCUUCCCAGUGAGGCGUCUGUUGUCUUUCAUCUCCAGCUGGCUCCAGAGCCCUCUCUGUCCCCACUCCUUGUUUCUACAAUAAAUAUUACAAGAGUUGA